RNAcentral lists this ribosomal RNA (481 nucleotides) under uncultured bacterium. RNAcentral's name for it is "partial 16S ribosomal RNA". It matches the Rfam family "Bacterial small subunit ribosomal RNA", at positions 28 to 507 of the family's 1533-position model. The record is from RNAcentral.
GAUGAACGCUGGCGGCGUGCUUAACACAUGCAAGUCGAACGAAGCAUUUGCGACAGAUUUUUUCUGAAUGAAGUUGCUUAUGACUGAGCGGCGGACGGGUGAGUAACGCGUGGGUAACCGGCCUUGUACUGGGGGAUAGCAGCUGGAAACAGCUGGUAAUACCGCAUAAGCGCACAAUGUUGCAUUACAUGGUGUGAAAAACUCCGGUGGUAUAAGAUGGACCCGCGUCUGAUUAGCUAGUUGGUGAGAUAACAGCCCACCAAGGCGACGAUCCGUAGCCGACCUGAGAGGGUGACCGGCCACAUUGGGACUGAGACACGGCCCAGACUCCUACGGGAGGCAGCAGUGGGGAAUAUUGGACAAUGGAGGAAACUCUGAUGCAGCGACGCCGCGUGAGUGAAGAAGUAAUUCGUUAUGUAAAGCUCUAUCAGCAGGGAAGAUAGUGACGGUACCCGACUAAGAAGCUCCGGCUAAAUACGUG